UACGUAGGGUGCGAGCGUUGUCCGGAAUUAUUGGGCGUAAAGGGCUCGUAGGCGGUUUGUCGCGUCGGGAGUGAAAUCCACUGGCUUAACUGGUGGCUUGCUUUCGAUACGGGCAGACUGGAGGUAUGCAGGGGAGAACGGAAUUCCUGGUGUAGCGGUGAAAUGCGGCAGAUAUCAGGAGGAACACCGGUGGCGAAGGCGGUUCUCUGGGCAUGUCCUGACGCUGAGGAGCGAA
RNAcentral lists this ribosomal RNA (235 nucleotides) under uncultured bacterium. RNAcentral describes it as "partial 16S ribosomal RNA". It matches the Rfam family "Bacterial small subunit ribosomal RNA", at positions 524 to 757 of the family's 1533-position model. The record is from RNAcentral.